GUUUAAGUUGCGCACUUGCUGUAAAUAUGGACAAAGAACAAUUGGUGGGAUUUAUAUGGAUCUUCCUUGAGUUUCUGGAGGUUCAUAAAGGUCCACCAUACACUU
Molecule: small nucleolar RNA, 105 nt
Organism: Zingiber officinale
Lineage: Eukaryota; Viridiplantae; Streptophyta; Magnoliopsida; Zingiberales; Zingiberaceae
Source: RefSeq, a predicted model, not a curated record